Molecule: long non-coding RNA, 4429 nt
Organism: Diceros bicornis minor
Lineage: Eukaryota; Metazoa; Chordata; Mammalia; Perissodactyla; Rhinocerotidae
Exons: 3
Source: RefSeq, a predicted model, not a curated record
CCGCGCCGCCUCCUCCGAGACCACAACUCCCAGCAUGCAGCGGGGCUCCCGCGGCCUCUCGGGAAGAGGGUGCCCAGCCCGCGGGGCGGGGCGCGGGGCACGCUGGGACUGGGAGUGUGCGGCUGCGCAGACUGGGCAACGCGAGAAUGCUCGGGGGAGGGCGUGUGACGCCUCGGGAGACAGAGGCGGUGCGCGUUGGUGGGGCAACUGAGGGAAGGGCGAGCGGCCGUCUGCGUCUGCGGCCCUUGCAAGCGAGGCGGAGUUCCAGAUCACUUCCAUGCCCUUCACAGCACUUGUGACUCUUCGGAUUAGUGAAUAGACAGUAAGCUCCUUUGAGCGGGAGCUUUGUCCCGGCGCCAUACCACGGUGCCCGCACCUAGUAGGUGCUCGGCUGGUGGGGCCGACGGAGCACCCUCGUUUGCUGAGUCAUUCAGCAAACCCAGAAGCUCGUCCUGGGCGCGGCCCUGGAAAUGACUCGUGCUGGGCCCUGCCGUCUGAGGACGAAUGGGAGGAGUUCCUGGAGAGACAGACGGUCAGCGAAGAGCUGGGCAGCUCAGGGAAUGGUCUGGCCCGCUGGAGAAUCCCGGAAGGGCUUUCCGGAGGAGUUGCUUUUGUGCCAAGCCUUGCCGGUUGUCGGCGAGAAGAAAUGAGGGAGGGGGGCCCCCGCUCCAGGUUGAGGAUCCGGUUGUGAGCAAGGCAUGGCGGUGUGACUGCCCAAGAUCUAUGGGGAAAGAAGUCAUGUUUGGCUGGAGCAAAGGCUAUGUCAAGGGGAACAAUGAGAUUUAAAGUUCGUGGGGCCAAUGGGUGGAUCAAGGGAUGCCAGGUGGGGAGUUUGGGAUUUAUUUUCAAGGCAUGUGUAAUCGUAGGGUAGCGUGUGAUAAGUAGUCUAAGAAAGACAAUGCUGUGAGCUCUGAGAGGAGGGGGAGGUGGGCGCUGCUGGCUGUGGUUAGGGAAGAUUUUCUGGAGUCUUGACCUGGACGGUAGAAGUUGGAGGUGCAGAUGUGGCGAGAUGCUUUUUUGCAGUAUUGGUUUAGGGAUUGCUACUUGUAUUUUCCCCUUACCUCCCAUUUCUAGUAGGUAGCCAGGAUUUGUAAAUCCUUGCCUCAGGGAUUUUGGUAGGACAGGAAGUCUUUGAAAACCUAAUCCCAGGUGUGAAAUUCAAAUGGCUACCAGAGGCAGGCAGGUUACUUCAAUCAGUGAAGAGGCCCAGGUGUGACAUCACUUGAUUUCCAUCCCCCACACAAAAAAGUAAGCACAGGCUGUUCUUCUAGAGAUGCUUCCGAAAUGCAGCUGCAUCUUCAGAUCCAGGACCCAUUGAUAAUCUCUUCUGGAGUUUUGGCCACAAGCUAAAACUGCAGUCCCUAGACUAAGUCCAGCAGACUCACCAGAGCCGGUAUUUAGCCGGUAUGUGCCCUCUGCCACACUGAUGGUUAAAAUAUUGAAAUACUUCGUGGUAAAUCGUAUCACGGUAAUUGCAAUGUGUUACAGUUAGGUAAUAAUACACAUUUCAAUAUAAACUUAUUGGUUUCUACUGAUAGUUUUAGGAUGUUAGUGCCAUUGGAAAAGGGCUUUCUAUUGUAGCCACAUCUGAGAAACAUUCAUGACACAGUUUGGCCUGUGUCACCGAAGGGACUGUGGCUAAGUUGUAUGUGUUAACAAAACACUAAUUGCUUUAGGAGUUAUCACUAGCUUAAAAUACUUUUAAUUUUAUUGUUAGUAGAUGGUAAUUCUUUCAAAAAGUAGCAGAUGUGCAGUGUUUUUAUAUUUAUACAUUUAAGAUUUUAUUAUAAAAUAUUGAAAACAAAUACCUAGAAUGAAGAGACAACAAAAUCUGGAUAAGUUUCUUUGUUUUUUGAGGAAGAUCAGCCUUGAGCUAACAUCCAUGCCAAUCCUCCUCUCCUUGCCGAGGAAGAGCGGCCCCGAGCCAACAUCUAUUGCCACUUCUCCUCCUUUUUUUCCCCAAAGCCGCAGUAGAUAGCUGUAUGUCAUAGUUGCACAUCCCUUUCAGUUGCUGUACGUGAGACGCGGCCUCAGCAUGGUCGGACAAGCGGUGCGUCGGUGCGUGCCCGGGAUCCGAACCUGGGCCGCCAGCAGCGGAGCAUGGGCACUCAACCGCCAAGCCAUGGGGCUGGCCCCUGGAUAAGUUUUUAAUACUUUUAAAUGUAAUAAACAUGAAUCUUGUUAAUAUGCAGAAGAACAAAGAAGGAAUUAUAGUGAAUCCCAGCCUGGAACUUGUUUUGAUCCUCUGCAAGAAUCUGCACAAAGUAAAACUUGUAUUAAAUAAAUUUUAUUACAUAAAACCUGAAGUUCUGGAAUGGAAAAUAACUUGAUUUUAUUCAAUCAGUAAUUUGACUUAUUGCUACUGAGAGAAAUGUUGGAUGCAAAUAGCACUCAAAAGUUACGGGUUAAAAGAUCAAGGUGCUAAACAUGUAUAUAUUUCAUCAGGGUGCUGUUAAAACUUGUGGUUCAAGUGAAGAAAAUUUGUGAUCAUUAAGGAAGAAAUUUAAGACAGUUUCAUACAUGAAACAUUUGAAAGCUUAAAACUGCAAAAUGUUAUCAGAGUGAGGAUAAAGCAAUCAAAAAGAUGUAGAAGGUACUGUCAGAAUUUUUCGCACUAUAUAAUAAAAUAAUUGAGCAUUUCCAUGAUGAUAAUAGAAUUUCUAAAGGAAUAAUAUUGAUAGGGACAUGGGUACUAUGGAUCCACUUGUUACAAAAUAUAGAUGUACCUAAAUGAGAAAACUUUUUGGGAAACAUGAAUCAAGGUAGUUCAUUUUAAAUCAUUAUCAAAGAAGCUGAAACGUCACGUAAAGGUGUUUUAAUAAUUUGCUUAAAAUACAAAUUUCAAGAGUUUGAGGUUAAUGGUUCUUGUCGACCUUAUAGCAGUGGGAAUCACAUUUAAAUACAACAUAUUGAACUUGCUGGUGGGCAGGAAAAAUUAUAUUUCAUUGAAAAAUAUUUCCAUAAAAAUGUCGUUGGAAUAUUUUACAACAAUUAAAAAAAAGUCAUUGGGUUAAAAGUGCCAGCGUAAUGCUAGAGAGAGACUAGAGUUUCAGCCAAAAGUUUAGAAAAAAUUUGGAUGUUUUAAUUUGGCACUAAAUUAUCAAAUUAAUUUUAGAUAAAGCAAUACAAGGCCUAAGUCAAAUAAUUUUCAUAUUUUUCCUCAACAAGCUGUAUUCACUAUCACAUCUAAUAUCAGAACUGCAAAUUAAGUAAUGAAAAUUGAAGCUUGUUGGACAGCAGUGUGGAGAUCAGUAUCAUAAGAAAUUAUUGCCUAAUCUAAGGUCAAGAAGAUUUACACCCAUAUUCUUCUAAGAGUUUUAGCUCCUACAUCCAUUAUGAGUUAAUUUUUUAUGGUGUGAGGUGGGGCUUCAACUUCAUUUUUUCAGAUAUGGAUAUCUAAUUGUUCCAGCACCAUUUAUUGAAAAGACUAUUUUUCCCCUCAAAAUUCAUACGUUGAAGCCCUAACCUCCAGUACCUCAGAAUGUGACUAUAUUGGAGAUAGAGCCUUUAAAGCAUUAAGUUAAAAUGAGGCCAUUAGGGUGGGCCCUAAUCCAACGUGACUGGUAUCCUUACAUGAGGAGGAAGUGUGGACACACACAGAGACACCAGGGAUGCGUGUGUGGAGGGAUGACCACAUGAGGAGGCAGCAGGAGAGCAGCCAUCUGCAAGCCAAGGAGAGAGGAAACCAACCCUGCCGACACCUUGAUCUUGGACUUCCAGCCUCCAGAACUACCCUCUGCUUCAGUGUGUGUUGGCGGAACACAUGGUUCCAUCUAGGCAAGCCUCACCUGUGUGCCCAACGUCACGUACCUUGAGUCACUAGCUCCCAGUUCAGAAUUCCCAGGUGAGAGAAGCUGUGUGGCACAGCUUGGGCCAGGCAGCCAUCGCAGCCCAGUCAGCAGGGGCCUUGACACCUGGGGGUCACGAGGCACCGACUCUGCCUGGACCCAUCUCUUCGGGAAAUGAGAAGUCCUCAGGAGUCUGUGAACAAAACUGAUUCCCUUGUUCUGAUUAUAAAAUAAUUCAGGGCAUUAAAGAAUGUCAGAAGACACAGAGAAGCACAAACAAAUGAUGGAAAGUCUCCCGCAGUUCCCCCGUCUGGAGAGAAUUCAAUGUCAAUCCAUUUCUUCUUUGUUUCUCACCUGCUUUUUAGUAUGACUGUGACCACAUAUCGUUUUAUGUAUUGUUUUUAUAUGAAAUCUUAAAUCUUUUUAAUUUUCAGACAUUUUAAUAUUUAAAUGAGUAUUCUAAAUACUUUCAAUAAUUCAUGUAUUAUUUUCCUCCUGUCACUAACAAUUUUCCGUAAACCUCGUUUUCAUAUUACACCCUUGCGAGGUGUAUCCAGGGGGGCACCAUCGUUUUAUAUAACAAUUUCCCUAAAAUUGUUGAGUUUUUUUCCUAUUGUAAAUCACACUGGGAUGAAUAUAUU